This 478-nucleotide ribosomal RNA is filed under the name uncultured bacterium. RNAcentral describes it as "bacterial SSU rRNA". It matches the Rfam family "Bacterial small subunit ribosomal RNA", at positions 30 to 501 of the family's 1533-position model. The record is from RNAcentral.
AUUGAACGCUGGCGGCAGGCCUAACACAUGCAAGUCGAGCGGAUGAGUGGAGCUUGCUCCAUGAUUCAGCGGCGGACGGGUGAGUAAUGCCUAGGAAUCUGCCUGGUAGUGGGGGGCAACGUUUCGAAAGGAACGCUAAUACCGCAUACGUCCUACGGGAGAAAGCAGGGGACCUUCGGGCCUUGCGCUAUCAGAUGAGCCUAGGUCGGAUUAGCUAGUAGGUGAGGUAAUGGCUCACCUAGGCGACGAUCCGUAACUGGUCUGAGAGGAUGAUCAGUCACACUGGAACUGAGACACGGUCCAGACUCCUACGGGAGGCAGCAGUGGGGAAUAUUGGACAAUGGGCGAAAGCCUGAUCCAGCCAUGCCGCGUGUGUGAAGAAGGUCUUCGGAUUGUAAAGCACUUUAAGUUGGGUAGGAAGGGCGAGUAAGUUAAUACCUUGCUGUUUGACGUUACCAACAGAAUAAGCACGGCUAAC